Molecule: ribosomal RNA, 343 nt
Filed under: uncultured Pseudomonas sp.
Lineage: Bacteria; Pseudomonadati; Pseudomonadota; Gammaproteobacteria; Pseudomonadales; Pseudomonadaceae
Description: bacterial SSU rRNA
Rfam family: Bacterial small subunit ribosomal RNA
Source: RNAcentral
UUGCUUCUCUUGAGAGCGGCGGACGGGUGAGUAAAGCCUAGGAAUCUGCCUGGUAGUGGGGGAUAACGUUCGGAAACGGACGCUAAUACCGCAUACGUCCUACGGGAGAAAGCAGGGGACCUUCGGGCCUUGCGCUAUCAGAUGAGCCUAGGUCGGAUUAGCUAGUUGGUGAGGUAAUGGCUCACCAAGGCGACGAUCCGUAACUGGUCUGAGAGGAUGAUCAGUCACACUGGAACUGAGACACGGUCCAGACUCCUACGGGAGGCAGCAGUGGGGAAUAUUGGACAAUGGGCGAAAGCCUGAUCCAGCCAUGCCGCGUGUGUGAAGAAGGUCUUCGGAUUGU